GCAGACGUUUUGUAACCAUGCCUCUCCAUCCCGCCGUCUGCUGCAGCCUCGGAGCCCCAAGCUAGCAAGACCAGAGGGCGAAGCGCUGGGGUGCGCCUGGGUGGGCUUCCUGGGAGCGCAGGAUGGUACCCAAGCGCCCUGCCCUACUCUGCGAUACGCACGGUCCCAUACGCUGGGCGGUGGGCUUCAAGCACUGGGUUAGCCACAAAAGACAAGACGUACGCAGUCCAGCUGAGGAGGCUGGGCUGGGGCGGUGGUGGGCUGGGGAGGGGAGCGUCGCUUCUCCGCGCGCCCAGCAGGGCGGUGCGUUCUAGUCGUUCUAGUCGCCGGGUUGGGCUGUUGGGGGUGGGGAGGGGGCGGGGAAGACCGGGGCUUGUAGCUGCCCGGAUCCAGGCAAAAAUAGCAGGGAGGGUGAGGCGCUCUGCUAACACUAUCAAUUAUGCAUCGUGUUGAACGUGGCUUCGGGGAGGAGGCGGCUAGCAGCGAGGGUGCGGGAAGGAAGGGUCCGCGCGAGCCGGGCGGCGCGCAGCUCCAGCCAGUCCCGGGCGAGGUCUGUCGGCACCACCGCCUGCCUUUGCAGAAAGAGUUUUAAGGCAAAGACACGCCUCCCCCACUUCAGGCGUGCGCCUUUCCUUCCCCCAAUUCCUCAAAGAUGGUUUGUCUCACGUGUUGCGGGGCGUAAAAGAGGCUCGCAUUCAAUUAGCAGCAAAGCUAACGGGCCCUGGCGGGACCCGGGCGUGAGGGUGAGUGCGCAUGAAUGUGUGUGCGUGCAGGAGGAGGAGAAUGGUGAGUGUCCCGGGUGUGAACACUCACCGGCGAGUGAAAAUGUGCGUGAACGAAGCGAGAGCUCAACACAUUGGCGCGAUUAUUACAUGAUGAUGGGUGAUUCUAAUAUUGAAGAGCAACUGUGUGGACGGUGUGAGGUCGCAGCAACAGAUGUGGGAAGCGCCCUUGGGCUGUCGUCCUGGCUCCGCGACAUCCAGUCUGGAGAGGGGGUUGCAACCCGAGGGCAGCGCACGGAGAGUUGGAGAGCAGCCGCUUGGAGAAGGAAGGUUGACUGAGCAGCCCUGAUGGUUUUCCCCUCCCUGGAGUUGCAGCCCCCGGGAAAGGCAGCCCGAGAGGGGCCUGGCGAGUCUGCUUCCCCGUUCCCGUCCCAGUCUUCUUGCCACCUGCAGCAAGUUCACACCUUUUGCUGAGCCGCUGGGAUUUCAGUCUCAGAGGGCUGUCUACAGACGCAAGUGCCCGCCUGUGUCCCGGUAUGUGGGUCCGCGCAUGUGAGGAUUUGUGCCCUGAUGUCUGUCAGUUCCAACAAUGAACAGGAAAGUGCCUUGCCCGGUGCUGGAGAACGCUGUACAAAUGCUGUGUUCAGUUCAGAGAACAAUGAGGUCUCCAGAGGAUAUGGUGCCUGUGUCUGGGUGUCUUUGUGUUUGUCUGUCUAUUAAAUGUGUUGGGACCCCCUAAACAGAAGUCCCGGUUUGAUGGCAGGCGCCUGGGCUUGUGUUGUAUUGUCCGGUGUCUGUAUGGGCGUGUGUGGGCGAUUUCUGUGCAGUGCGACAAAGAGUUCAGGGGAGGACAGACAGUCAUGGACAAAAAUAGCCUAUGUAUCCCUUUCACUGAGUUAAACCUAGGGUUAGAAACAGAGUCAGGGAUCAAUGCAAAGCUCAGGGCAGACCGGGUAUAGGCCCAGCCUGUGGAGGGUCUAGCUGUGGAGGCUGACGGGAUAGGUAGAGAGAAAAGAGCGAGGUAGGAGGCUGCUAGAAAAGGAAGUCCUGAGAGGGAGCACGCAUUGAAUCCCGAGACUUAUUGAGCUCCAACUCGUGCCUAAGAGAGACUCUGGGCCCAGAGCAGAAAGUUACCAGAGCCCUGCGAUCUGCCCUAGACAGGUUUACAGGAGGCAGAGCUUGGCAGGGGAGGGAAGCUGGAGCUCAGUGAGUCACAUUC
Long non-coding RNA from Bos mutus (wild yak), 1941 nucleotides. NCBI's taxonomy places the organism in Eukaryota, Metazoa, Chordata, Mammalia, Artiodactyla, Bovidae. The record is from Ensembl.